RNAcentral lists this long non-coding RNA (1465 nucleotides) under Homo sapiens (human). RNAcentral describes it as "non-protein coding CD81-AS1:6". Lineage: Eukaryota; Metazoa; Chordata; Mammalia; Primates; Hominidae. The record is from RNAcentral.
AGUCCGGAAUCCGCGGCCAGGGACCCGCGCAGGCCCCUCCUUAGCUGAGGGGCGGCCGGGUACUCGGGUCCCGACCCGCGACCACCGCACCCAUCACCACCACAGCGGGAACUGCCCGGCGGCCCCCAGAAGCCCCGGCCCGGCCGCAGAGGUGGGCCCCCGAGCACAGAGGCCCCGAAACUCGGCUCGCAGCCCUCAGCCCCAAUGUCGGGGGGCGCGGUGGCCCCGGGCGACCCCCCACCCCGCUCCUGGAGCCCACAGGUGGCCCCACAACUUCGCGGCCCGCGCUGCGCCCGCGGGGCCUAGCACGCUGCCGCGGGACCUGCCCAACGUGGAGUGUGUGCCUGCCCCCUCCCGCCCCGGCCCCCGGCGCAGCCCUUACCCAGAAGACGAAAUUGAAGACGAAGAGCAGGAAUAUAUUCAAGCAAUUAUGAGAACUUAUACAAAAAAAGCUAUAAACUCUACUGAGAGACAUGAGAAAAAACAUGAAUCAGCGGAGAGAGAAGCUAUUUUCCUUCAUGGAGGAAGAAACAGUGUGGUGAACACAUGGUAUCGUCUGUUCCGCCAUCCACCCCUCUGUUGACCUGCCAAAGUCCACCCAGUCACUACACCCUCUCCAGACCCAGCAUCUCCGAUGGAUGAGCACAUCAGGUUUGGAUAUGCCCUCUCUUGGUCCAGCACCCUAUGAAUUUAAACAUUGAGUUAUCUGUCCCCCUAUGCUAGAUUGUAUCUGUGACCCCAGUCUCUCGCCCUUUCCUGUGCCCGAGGCCAGCCACGACUUGCUGUCUUGGGAAUGCACCCAGCCAAGAUCAGUCAAGCAGAGCCCAGACACAUAAGCAGGAAAAGCUGACUGUUGUGCACCACGGAGACUGUGUAGAUACGUGUUAAUUUGCGUUUCUUCUUAUGGCAGCACCCUCCUUCACAGAGCCUGCUUCUGUAUUAGUCAGGACAGGCCAGGCUGUAUUGUGGUAGCAGUCGGAACCCCCAAACCCAGCUGCUGCCAAGAGAGCAGGCACCGGGGGCCCGAGUGAUGGGGACUUGGUGGAGCUGGAGCAGCAAACUUGCUAAAAUCACUCCUGGUGACCUGGCAGGCUGAAUACAAGAAGGCUCAGCCAGGAGCAUAAGGGGCGAAGUGGGAAAACACCACAUUGCGAGUUUUGUGUUAGGUCCCGCAACACGAGACGGAGACCAGCUUGAGAAAGAAGGCCCAGCUUACAAGCAGAGAUGAAAGUGAACAGAGAGAUGGAUCCAGAAAUUCAGAGCACCGCAAGGGCAGAAAAACCAACUGCUCCAAGAGUUAGGAUUUUAACAAGCUUUGGGAGACAAAGGCCCAAUAAAAUGCCUGACUUGGACCGAUCAACAGAAGACAAAGAUGGGAUUAAGGCCCAUUCAAGUCUGAGAGCCUUCUGACAGCUGCCAUUGAGUUGAUGGAGAGGAAUGAGAGCAAAUACAUCCUGAAACUUCA